UACGAGAGGUCCAAGCGUUAGUCGGAAUCACUGGGCUUAAAGGGUGCGUAGGCGGGUCCGUAAGUGCCUUGUGAAAUCCCAUGGCUCAACCAUGGAAUUGCAGGGCAUACUGCGGGCCUUGAGGAAUCUAGAGGCCGGUAGAACGAUAGGUGGAGCGGUGGAAUGCGUAGAUAUCUAUCGGAAUGCCAAAGGUGAAGACAGCCGGCUGGGGAUUUCCUGACGCUGAGGCACGAAAGCGUGGGGAUCAAACAGG
This 253-nucleotide ribosomal RNA is filed under the name uncultured bacterium. RNAcentral describes it as "partial 16S ribosomal RNA". It matches the Rfam family "Bacterial small subunit ribosomal RNA", at positions 524 to 776 of the family's 1533-position model. The record is from RNAcentral.